UUCAAUAAUUUCAUCAGGGACAAAACAAACAACUUCGAAUAAGGUUUCCAAAAAACUAACUUACCGAAUAACAAAUGCAGCGAUUUCAACAUGGCGCUCCAGCGGCCUGGUCGCCCAGUUUAGCUUCACCUCAGCAGGAUCCAGCGCUGUGAGGAACAGAGACCCUCAGCCUUCAGCGAAACCAGCACUCAGGUCCAUUAUUCAGUCCAGCAGCUCUGCAUGCCGGGACAUUUACAGCCAAUUUGUGUCCUCCAAUAUGGAUGCAGAUUUUUCAAGUAUUUGUAUGUCAAGUAUUUACCAACACAGAGCAUGUUAUCAGCAAAAGAAAAAAAUAAUAUAUUUUGUAUGACUAGAACGUUUUAAGUCUUUUACAUUUAUCAAAAGCCAUUUUGUAUUCUUGAAGAUGAAAAUCAUUUAAAAUGUUAUUUUACUUUUUGUACUUGAAUACAUUUCAAGAUUUGUACUUUUUUAAACUUUUGAGUAAAACAGUUCAAUCUGUACUUUUACUAGAAUAUUUCUUCAUACAAAUAUCUGUACCUCUACUUAAGUAGAGAAUGUGAGUACUUUUGACACCUCUGUGUUCAUGCUCUUAUUUUGAAGUGGCUGGAGACUGCUUACGUAGCAGUUCCGUUGCGUGCUUCUCCUCACGUUCUCUAUUUCGCCUCAAUAACUUUAUUUAAGACAAGAAUAGGAACAUAAUAAAACAGACAGUAGUGAACAAGAUAUAAACACAUGAAUACAAUGCCUGAGGGCGUUAUAAAACAUGAAAAUUAUGUCAAAUUUAAGAUGUAGUCUUUCAAGGACAUAAUGAAUUAAAGUUAGCAAUUCCAGUUAGCUUCUGCUAAAUCUUAGCGCAGAACUUUGUCCACCUCUUAAAAUGCUUCGCCUUGGUGUUAUUCAAGAAAUCUGUAGUGGUACAUAGUUAACUGUGACCAUAAUGAUGAAAUAAUGCAGCAUUCUUUAAUAUUUACACAUCAGAUUUCUUCAACUCUUUAUGGUAAUAUCGCUAACUCUUGUAAGUGCAGGAUUUCAUAAACAAAGAUGGCUGAAUGCAUGUUGGCAGUUUCUCCUGCUCAAAGAUGCUUUUAUGGGGUCAGAAAACGUUUUAUUUAGGAACCUUUUUCCUUUUUUUACACAAUGACAACACACUGAUGACAUCAUACAAUGACAACACACUGAUGACAUCAUAGAAUCAACUUACAGUAAAGGGCUUGUCAACAAUGCCUUAGCAACACAUGCUCCCUGGGCUGAUUAGCAUCAGAGGAUUUUUACCUUUAAUGCGCCGGGAGGGCUGCCUGAUUUAGGCCUUUUAAGGCUUUCACUUUUUAUUUGGCUAAACUUUCAACAUAGGCCUAAAAUCUUUCCACAAUAAUGUGGAUACAAAGUCCUCUGAGGCGAUAAGUUGCUGCUAAACUUAAAGGGGAGCGCCACUCAGUUUCAGGUGAUAAGUGAGCAGGGGCGUAGCCACAGGGUGGCUGGGGGGGGACCGGCUACCCUCCUAUUCUACAUAGACUCCAUGUCAGUAGAAGGGGUGAAUCAUAUUAACCAAAUUAAUCAUAAUUCAUUAUUAUUGAAGUAAACAUCAACUAAUUUGGUAAACGUUUAAUUGUUAGCUGGAGCAUUAAAAACGCCAUUUGCUGAAAGAACAACACAGAACAGUGAUUGAACCAAAACUAUA
Molecule: long non-coding RNA, 1678 nt
Organism: Xiphophorus couchianus (Monterrey platyfish)
Lineage: Eukaryota; Metazoa; Chordata; Actinopteri; Cyprinodontiformes; Poeciliidae
Exons: 2
Source: RefSeq, a predicted model, not a curated record